GACGAACGCUGGCGGCGUGCCUAAUACAUGCAAGUCGAACGCAGUGGGGACGGGUGAGUAACACGUGGGUAACCUCCCAUCAGAGGGGAUAACACUUGGAAACAGGUGCUAAACCGUUACUGCUGGAUGGACACGCGGUGCAUUAGCUAAUUGGUGAGGGAACGGCUCACCAAGGCCACGAUGCAUAGCCGGCCUGAGAGGGUGUUCGGCCACCCGGGGACUGAGACACGGCCCAGACUCCUACGGGAGGCAGCAGUGGGAAAUUUUCGGCAAUGGACGAAAGUCUGACCGAGCAACGCCGCGUGGGGGAAGAAGGUUUUCGGAUCGUAAAGCUCUGUUGUUAGAGAAGCGGUAUCUAACCAGAAAGCCACGGCUAACUACGUGCCAGCCGCCGCGGUAAUAC
This 403-nucleotide ribosomal RNA is filed under the name uncultured bacterium. RNAcentral describes it as "partial 16S ribosomal RNA". It matches the Rfam family "Bacterial small subunit ribosomal RNA", at positions 28 to 526 of the family's 1533-position model. The record is from RNAcentral.